Molecule: ribosomal RNA, 253 nt
Filed under: uncultured bacterium
Lineage: Bacteria
Description: partial 16S ribosomal RNA
Rfam family: Bacterial small subunit ribosomal RNA
Source: RNAcentral
UACGGAGGGUGCAAACGUUGCUCGGAAUCAUUGGGCGUAAAGCGCACGUAGGCGGCUCGUUAAGUCGGAUGUGAAAGCCCUCGGCUCAACCGAGGAAGUGCAUACGAAACUGGCGAGCUUGAAUAUGGAAGAGGGUCGCGGAAUUCCCGGUGUAGAGGUGAAAUGCGUAGAUAUCUGGAGGAACACCGGUGGCGAAGGCGGCAUCCUGGACCAAUAUUGACGCUGAGGAGCGAAAGCCAGGGGAGCAAACGGG